UAGUACACUAUGAUAUUUUAGCAAAGAAAAAGUUUCAAAAAGGUAUAGUUUAUGGUCUUAUUAAGGAACUAUAUGUGUUAUAUUUGUUAACUAAAGUCAGCCCCUCUCAUUUUAAUAGUGCUUCAACUUCAGUAAAAAUUGGACAAAAAUUGUUUUUAUGCCCCAUUUAUGGGCAUUAUGUUUUUGGGUCUGUGUGUCCGUCCAUCUGGUCGUCUGUCCUGCUUCAGGUUAAAGUUUUUGUUAGAAGUAGUUUUUGAUGAAGUUGAACUUGAAACUUAAUACACUUGUUCCCUAAGAUAUGAUCUUUCUAAUUUUAAAGCUAAUUUAGAGAUUUUCCCCCAUUUUCAUGGUCAACUGAACAUAUAAAAUGAUAGUGCGGAUGGGGCAUCCAUGUACUGGGGUCACAUUCUUUUUUUUCAAAUACAUAUUUCGUGUAGAUGUACAGCAUUAAUAAAGAAAUGCUGUAUUAUUGAAGAGCAAUGAAGGUCUUGUUCAGUGUUGUGUAGGGCAGACACUGCUGAUGACAUGUUUACUUUUCUAUUGUAUUUUACAAAGAGUGACAUAAUUUUAUUCAUGUUAUUAAAUGUCUGUAAAUUCAUAAAUGCUAGCAAUGUUUUUAAUAUUGCUAAAAUUUUGAUAGCAUUCUUUGUAUGAAGCAUUUCCUGAAAUCAAGGUUAAAUUUGGGUUCUAAACAUCUUACCAGUAACCAUUGGUGAACCAGAUUAAAAUGACCUCAUAUUUUAAAUGGGCAAUAAGUGACAAAUAGGAUAGAUUGCCUCACAUUAUAUAUGUGAGGUAAAGUGGACUAGAUAUGAGGUUGUUGCUAUAGUAACAUAUGACAUUAUUCAUAUGCAGAGAAUGACGAUCAUUGACAAAGCACUUUAAUAAGUUUAGGCAAAAACAAAAGUGUGGGCUCACAUGGAGCAAGGACUAGACAAGAAUAUUUAUUCAUAUAUGGACAAGAUAAACAGUUAGGUUUACUCCUUACCAGUAAAUACCCAUGAUGAAAACACAUUGGAAGGAGAUGAGUUUGUGUAUUGCCCAUAACCACCAAUCAGUUGUGAUUUUUAGAAAUUGCAAGAUUAAAAUUACUGUGAUACAAAUAGUGUAGACAGAUGAAACACAGAUUUAAGAAACCACUUUGACCCAUUUAUGUGCUACUUACUUGGGAAAACAGUACAUUGAGUUAAAUGUUUCUGCAAGUGUGAACCAGGGUAACUAAUUGAGUUUCACUGUUUGGGUAUCAAGGGUUCAACUAGGCUCAAAUUUCAUAUUUGUUGAACAUGCUCAAAAUCACACUCUUCCUACUCCAAAAUUUCUUUUGAUGUUAAAUUGACAUAAGCAAUAUCAAUUGAACUGUUUUAUCUUGGGUCGGGCCCUAAUUAUCCAAUCAGAAUGUGUGGUCUCUUUCUUAUUUUGUAUAGACAAUAGUUUAAUCAACUUAAUUAGAUCCUUCAAUAAAAGUAAAUUUUACAGAUCUAGACAAUUUUACACUGCCAAAUGACCUAGUCAUUACAGAAACCAUUUGCAGUUGUCUUAAUAUAUUUAUGUCCUAUUCUUAUUUGUAAUGUAUUGAUACUAUUUAUGGUUUAUAUCCUUUUUUGUUGUUAUUUACUUGUAAAGCAUUUAUUAAUUUAUACAUAAUAUUUGAAACUUUUUUAUUUGUUUUUAACUAGCUAUUGGAAGUAUCUUGGUGCUUAUUUUGUAUUUGAAUCUUAAUGUAUGUCCACUUUGUGCAAUUGUUUACUUUACAAUAUUGCCUGAAUUACUAUUUAU
Molecule: long non-coding RNA, 1776 nt
Filed under: Mytilus galloprovincialis (Mediterranean mussel)
Lineage: Eukaryota; Metazoa; Mollusca; Bivalvia; Mytilida; Mytilidae
Source: RNAcentral